This 336-nucleotide unclassified non-coding RNA is filed under the name soil metagenome. RNAcentral describes it as "partial contains 5.8S ribosomal RNA, internal transcribed spacer 2, and large subunit ribosomal RNA". The stretch from base 1 to 120 matches the Rfam family "5.8S ribosomal RNA", at positions 35 to 154 of the family's 154-position model. The record is from RNAcentral.
GAUGAAGAACGUAGUGAAAUGCGAUAAGUAAUGUGAAUUGCAGAAUUCAGUGAAUCAUCGAAUCUUUGAACGCACAUUGCGCCCGCCAGUAUUCUGGCGGGCAUGCCUGUUCGAGCGUCAUUUCAACCAUCAAGCCCCCGGCUUGUGUUGGGGACCUGCGGCUGCCGCAGGCCCUGAAAACCAGUGGCGGGCUCGCUAGUCACUCCGAGCGUAGUAGCUAACACCUCGCGACUGGAGAGCGGCGCGGCCACGCCGUAAAACACCCAACUCUUCUGAAGUUGACCUCGAAUCAGGUAGGAAUACCCGCUGAACUUAAGCAUAUCAAUAAGCGGAGGA